GGACGGGUGAGUAAUGCCUAGGAAUCUGCCUGGUAGUGGGGGACAACGUUUCGAAAGGAACGCUAAUACCGCAUACGUCCUACGGGAGAAAGCAGGGGACCUUCGGGCCUUGCGCUAUCAGAUGAGCCUAGGUCGGAUUAGCUAGUUGGUGAGGGAAUGGCUCACCAAGGCGACGAUCCGUAACUGGUCUGAGAGGAUGAUCAGUCACACUGGAACUGAGACACGGUCCAGACUCCUACGGGAGGCAGCAGUGGGGAAUAUUGGACAAUGGGCGAAAGCCUGAUCCAGCCAAGCCGCGUGUGUGAAGAAGGUCUUCGGAUUGUAAAGCACUUUAAGUUGGGAGGAAGGGCAGUAAGUUAAUACCUUGCUGUUUUGACGUUACCGACAAAAUAAGCACCGGUAACUUUGUGCCACAGCCCGGUAUUCAGAGGGUCAAGCGUUAAUCCGAAUUUCCUGGGCUAAAGCCGCGAGGGGUUCUUAAUUGGGAUGAAAACCCCCCGCUUCACCGGGAACUGUCC
RNAcentral lists this ribosomal RNA (518 nucleotides) under Pseudomonas sp. HPC1260. Its description in RNAcentral is "bacterial SSU rRNA". It matches the Rfam family "Bacterial small subunit ribosomal RNA", at positions 100 to 626 of the family's 1533-position model. The record is from RNAcentral. Lineage: Bacteria; Pseudomonadati; Pseudomonadota; Gammaproteobacteria; Pseudomonadales; Pseudomonadaceae.